This 2853-nucleotide long non-coding RNA is filed under the name Camelus dromedarius (Arabian camel). RNAcentral describes it as "lncRNA (ENSCDRG00005006377.1)". The record is from RNAcentral. Lineage: Eukaryota; Metazoa; Chordata; Mammalia; Artiodactyla; Camelidae.
GCUGUGUUUGGCUAGGUUCUGGAGUGUAGAGCGGCCGCUGGGAGGUGUCGGCGCCUGCGGGCCUAGUUCUGUUCCGCUGGGGCUUGGCGUCCGGGACUGCGGCCGCGCGGUGGGCGGGGCCCUACCUACACCCGCGGUACUAUUAAAAGGAGAACUAGUCAGGGAAGACACUGUGCAGGUUAAUUUGGGAAGUGAUGGUUAACGGUUCUGGCUUGAGACUCCUUAUUUGUGUUGUAAAUUUUGGUGGGGGCAGAGAUGGAAGCUGCUCCAUUCAACAGAGUUUUCAGUCUGGAGACGUAAAGACACUUGAAUUGUAGGUACUGAUUUUGUUCCGGUGUGGUGUGCUGUUUGGCUCUGUGUGCUUCCAUUUGAGCAGUCGGUGGUGGAAUUACUGAUUUUUUUUUUUAAAACCGUCACAGUUAUUUGAAAACGCGUGGUGAAAGGAGCAGAAUGAAGGGAAAAGGGAGGGAGGAAUUCCUGGGGCUUGCCUACUUUUACCUUGAGGAGGUUCCAUUUCUAUAUCGUGGCAAAAGACACGAGAGACCUAGCCUACAAACAUAUACCAAAAAUUAUCUUUUGCCAUGUAUAUUUAUAUUAGCUGGUGUGAGUAAAAGAUAUCAAAUGAAAAUAGCUUUAGAAUGAGGCCUAACACGGAUUUAUUGCAAAUGGAAACAACUGCAAAUAUUGGAGGCAAAAACAUGGAUAGCAUGGACUGUUGAAGGCCCUGUCAUGUGCCUAAUGAUCUUGUCCAUUUUAAGCAGAGAAAAAAAUCAAGGAAACUGAAGAAAAAGAACCUUUCCCCAAAGGAGAUAGAAGAUGGGGAAGAUGAGAUGUCUGAAGAUAAGGACAAUGGCAGUAGAGAUAAGGUUGUCAUCCCUCAGAAGAACCAUAGGAAGGUUACCACUGCUCCAGGAAAUAAAGUCGGGGGAAAAAAGCAUCUGGCUCCCAUGUUUGCUGAGAAAUUAAUACCACCACGCAGGGAGGGAGCCACAGGGGCCAAGCUGCCAAGAGAUAGGAGGAGUGCCAAGCUCGAGGGGGGCCAUGAGGAGAGACGUGAGGACUCUGACGAGAAUGAAGGUAAGAACAGUGGGUUGGAUCAGGGCCAGGAAGGUAGAGACCCCUUCUGGGGACGUCCCUGGUGCUGGCUAUAAGGUGGCAAAGUUCAGCCCUGCAUGCCAUCCCACAUGGCUCUGGGACAGGUUCUGUGAAAAUCCCAGCCCUCAGAACUGUUGCCUCGGUGGUCCCCAGCCGAUUCUCCAGGCUUGGCUUGAGGAGUCUCAGUGAACAUUUGACUUCUGCUGUCCAGAAUCAGAGAAUGACCAGAAUCAAGGUUUUCUCUUUGACCUUUAUACCUUGAUUGUUUCUCUCUUUGUGCUUAUGAGCCAAGCAGGUGAAUCAUCCCCCUAACUUACUCUCAGUGAUUUUGUUUUUGUCUUGACAGAGUCUGUGUAACAUUUUAAAUGGUAUUGCUUCCAAAGCAGUAAUUCUUGGCAUUUUUUAAAAAAUACAAUGGCAAAACAUUUUAAAUUAUUUCAAAAUAAAAGUUUAAAAUGACAGUGAAUUUUUUCCCCUUAGAUUUGUGUAUAUAGUCAGAUGUAUGAGCAGUUUCUCUGAAAGAACAGUUUGUCAUUUACAUUCUUAACAAGUCUGUGAGGCAGUGAUUGAUUAGGAGGGUUUUCAUUUAGAUUCUGAAAAAGAAGUCAUGUGAGAAAAGCCUUUCCUGUGGGGGUGAAGGAAGAUGAGCAGGAUCGGGAGGGUGGUGACAAAGGCUGCCAGGAAGAGGAGGAAGAGGGAGGUCAGAACGACCUGAACCAGCUCUGGGAAGUGCUGGCCGCUAUCAGGGAAUAAGAGAGAUAAGGGAAACCCUUGGCCAGGGCUGUGGGUUUCUUUUAUGAACUUGGACUUUCUAAUUAAUUUAUAAAUGCUUUUAAAAGUGUUCUGACAGACCUAACCCAGGCGUCUGGUGGAGAACAGGCACCACGUAUGUACAGUGUUCGUGGACUUUGUAAAAGCUUCCACUUUACUCAUUAGUGGCACAGACAGAUCAUUAAGAGUGCAACAUUCUGGCUUUCACCCACAGAGUCUAUGCAAAAAACCACCUGAUAAACAGAAGAAGGAAAUGGCCAAAAGAAGGCUUUCCCUGAAGCCAAAAUACAGAAAUUAGAAGGUAACCUCUUUGCUGUGUUUUAAAGCACAAGAGACACGUGGAGAAUUUCAUAUUGGCAAAACUCAAAUCUCUGUUAGCCCAAAUGAUGAACAAAGGAGUUUUAAUUGCAGCCUGGUGUUAAAAUAUGCCAGUCUUUAAUGGAAAUUUCUUUUGACAUCAUUCUGAACUGUUUAUUUGAGUUCUUUUCUUUUUUUCUUUCUUUCUUUUUUUUUUUUUUCCCUUUUUGUAUGGCAGCUGAACCACCUGUAACUUUCAGACUAUUUGUUGGAAACCUGAAUUUCAACAAAACCGUUGCUGAACUAAAAACUGAUCUUAGUGAAUUUUUUGCUAAAAAUGAUGUCGCAGUUGACGGUGUCAGAGUCGGCUUGUCCAGGUAAAUAGAUUGUUGUUAAGAGUUUAUCAGCCCAACAGUGAUUAUUCAGGUCAGACCGUCUUGUGACUUGCUCCUCAUCCCUCAGUAGGACAUUACCUUGGUCUCUUGCAGUUCAGAGCAUUUAAAACCCUUCAGUGGCUUAUUUAGUAAAUCCAUUAUAUUAAUUUUUGCUAUCCCAUUUUUCCAACCAGAAUACUAAAGUAAUCUGAAGAUCUUCCAAGUCAUUCCAGAGACACAUUUUCGUGAUUUUUCAGCUGUGAACAAUGCCAUUUGCCUUAGAAUUAUUUUAAACUAAUCACAAAUUUAAUCAUCA